GCGGUGGAGGCACGUGGGUUUAAUUUCGAUGCAAACCGAAAGAACCGUUAACCUCGGGUUUGGUACGAUGCAGGUGGUAGAGAGAAGAGAUUUAAUCGACUCUGCAGUAAUGCAGAGAGCCUGCACAGGUGCUGCAUGGCUGUCGUCAGCUCGUGUCGUGAGAUGUUGGGUUAAGUCCCGCAACGGGCGCAACCCCUAUUGCCAGUUGCUAACAGGAGAGCUGAGCACUCUGGCGAGACUGCCGCCGACAAGGCGGAGGAAGGCGGGGAUGACGUCAAGUCAUCAUGGCCUUUAUGCCCAGGGCUACACACGUGCUACAAUGGCCGGCACAGACGGCAGCUUAGUGGCGACACUUGGCAAAUCCUCUAAAGCCGGUCCCAGUUCGGAUUGUAGUCUGCAACUCGACUACAUGAAGCCGGAAUCGCUAGUAAUCGCAGAUCAGCCAAGCUGCGGUGAAUACGUUCCCGGGCCUU
RNAcentral lists this ribosomal RNA (473 nucleotides) under uncultured Synergistaceae bacterium. RNAcentral's name for it is "bacterial SSU rRNA". It matches the Rfam family "Bacterial small subunit ribosomal RNA", at positions 929 to 1382 of the family's 1533-position model. Lineage: Bacteria; Thermotogati; Synergistota; Synergistia; Synergistales; Synergistaceae. The record is from RNAcentral.